AUUUAAAUAGUUUAUAUAAAAUAUUGAUUUGUGGGGUCAAGGAUACAUUUAUUAUGUUUUAAAUA
Molecule: transfer RNA, 65 nt
Filed under: Cleroidea sp. 4 KM-2017
Lineage: Eukaryota; Metazoa; Arthropoda; Insecta; Coleoptera
Description: tRNA-His
Source: RNAcentral